GUGGUGUAGUGGGGUGUGGAGGUGUGUAGUGGUGUGUGGAGGUGGUGUAGUGGGGUGUGGAGGCGUGUGGAGGUGUUGUAGUGGGGUGUGGAGGUGGUGUAGUGGUGUGUGGAGGCGUGUGGAGGGGUGUGGAGGUGGUGUAGUGGUGUGUGGAGGCGUGUGGAGGUGGUGUAGUGGUGUGUGGAGGUGGUGUAGUGGUGUGUGGUGGUGUGUGGAGGUGGUGUAGUGGUUUGUGGAGGCGUGUGGAGGUGGUGUAGUGGGGUGUGGAGGUGGUGUAGUGGUGUGUGGAGGUGUGUAGUGGUGUGUGGAGGCGUGUGGAGGUGGUGUAGUGGUGUGUGGAGGUGUGUAGUGGUGUGUGGAGGCGUGUAGUGGUGUGUGGAGGUGGUGUAGUGGGGUGUGGAGGUGGUGUAGUGGGGUGUGGAGGCGUGUGGAGGUGUUGUAGUGGGGUGUGGAGGUGUUGUAGUGGGGUGUGGAGGUGGUGUAGUGGUGUGUGGAGGCGUGUGGAGGGGUGUGGAGGUGGUGUAGUGGUGUGUGGAGGUGGUGUAGUGGUGUGUGGAGGUGUGUAGUGGUGUGUGGAGGUGGUGUAGUGGUGUGUGGAGGCGUG
Clupea harengus (Atlantic herring) is the source of this 604-nucleotide long non-coding RNA. NCBI's taxonomy places the organism in Eukaryota, Metazoa, Chordata, Actinopteri, Clupeiformes, Clupeidae. The record is from Ensembl.